AACGAACGCUGGCGGCAUGCCUAACACAUGCAAGUCGAACGAGACCUUCGGGACUACUUGCUCAUGCGUGCGUCACGCGUCGGAACCUUCCCUUAGGCUCGGAAUAACUCCCCGACAGGGGUGCUAAUACCGGAUAAUGUACUCGGACCAAAGAUUUAUCGCCUUUGGAUGGGCCCGCGUUGGACUAGCUAGUUGGGAGGGUAAAAGCCUACCAAGGCGACGAUCCAUAGCUGGUCUGAGAGGAUGGUCAGCCACACUGGGACUGGGACGCGGCGCAGACUCUUAGGGAAGGGAGCAAUGCGGAAUAUUGGACUAUGGGCGAGGGCCUGAUGCAGUAAGGCUGCUUGAGUGAUGAAGGCGUGAGGGUUAUAAAGCUCUUUUAUCCGGGAUGGUAAUGACAGUACCGGAAGAAUAAGCUCCGGCUAACUCCGUG
This 433-nucleotide ribosomal RNA is filed under the name uncultured bacterium. Its description in RNAcentral is "partial 16S ribosomal RNA". It matches the Rfam family "Bacterial small subunit ribosomal RNA", at positions 29 to 507 of the family's 1533-position model. The record is from RNAcentral.